CAGCAGUGAGGAAUAUUGGUCAAUGGCCUAACGGCUGAACUGGCAACUUGGAGAAGUGGCAAGUCUUCCAGUAUGGGGAGCAAAACAGCUAUGGGUCAAGUCCGAUAUCUUUAGGAGAAGUCUUAUUGUGAGGGCGAGUUAUAUAACACCAUAGGACUGGCCGUCCCAUAUGAAAAGAUUAUAUUAGAAUUGAAUGAAGCUUUGUUUAUAUAUUGAUAAUGACAGUAUAUAUAUCGUGUCUUGACUAAUUGCGUGCCAGCAGUCGCGGUAAUACGUAAGAGACUAGUGUUAUUCAUCUUAAUUAGGUUUAAAGGGUACCCAGACGGUCAAUAUAGCUUAUAAAAUGUUAGUACUUGACUAGAGUUUUAUGUAAGAGGGCAGUACUUGAGGAGGAGAGAUGAAAUUUCGUGAUACCAAAGGGACUCUGUAAAGGCGAAGGCAGCCCUCUAUGUAAAAACUGACGUUGAAGGACGAAGGCACAGAGAACAAACAGGAUUAGAUACCCAAGUAGUCUUUGCAGUAAAUGAUGAAUGCCAUAGGUUAGAUUGAUCAAUUAUAGUCUAGGGUUAGUCUAGCAAACUAAUGCCCUAUGAUAUAAUUCAAAAUAUCUGGUCUAUAAAUGAAAGUGUAAGCAUUUCACCUCAAGAGUAAUGUGGCAACGCAGGAACUGAAAUCACUAGACCGUUUCUGACACCAGUAGUGAAGUAUGUUAUUUAAUUCGAUGAUCC
This 728-nucleotide ribosomal RNA is filed under the name Fusarium oxysporum f. sp. melonis. RNAcentral's name for it is "SSU rRNA". It matches the Rfam family "Bacterial small subunit ribosomal RNA", at positions 349 to 960 of the family's 1533-position model. Lineage: Eukaryota; Fungi; Ascomycota; Sordariomycetes; Hypocreales; Nectriaceae. The record is from RNAcentral. RNAcentral also lists the same sequence under 3 other names.